ACCGUUCUUCAGUCAAGGGUAUAUGAGCAGCUGUGCUCCCCUGCUAGAACCUCCAAACAAGCCCUCAAGACACCAUCAGAGGGAAGCGGACGUGGC
This 96-nucleotide small RNA is filed under the name Dasypus novemcinctus (nine-banded armadillo). RNAcentral's name for it is "7SK RNA (ENSDNOG00000045365.1)". It matches the Rfam family "7SK RNA", at positions 172 to 268 of the family's 331-position model. From Rfam's summary of the family: 7SK was discovered as an abundant small nuclear RNA in the mid-70s but a possible function has only recently been suggested. Lineage: Eukaryota; Metazoa; Chordata; Mammalia; Cingulata; Dasypodidae. The record is from RNAcentral.